RNAcentral lists this microRNA (22 nucleotides) under Drosophila mojavensis. Its description in RNAcentral is "Dmo-Mir-282_3p (mature (co-guide))". The record is from RNAcentral. RNAcentral also lists the same sequence under 1 other name. Lineage: Eukaryota; Metazoa; Arthropoda; Insecta; Diptera; Drosophilidae.
ACAUAGCCUAUGAGAGGUUAGG